CAGAUACUUUUUCCUGCCACCGAAUACAUUAGCAUGGGAUAAUGGAAUAGGACCCUGACCUCCUAUUUUCAGUUGGUUUUACUAACAGCGAGGUUCAUAUCAGGGUAAUGAUUAAUAGGGAUAGUUGGGGGCAUUAAUAUUUAAUUGUCAGAGGUGAAAUUCUUGGAUUUAUGAAAGAUUAACUUCUGCGAAAGCGUUUGCCAAGGAUGUUUUCAUUAAUCAAGAACGAAAGUUAGGGGAUCGAAGACGAUCAGAUACCGUCGUAGUCUUAACCAUAAACGAUGCCGACCAGCGAUUAGGAGACGUUGAAUACAAAACACCGCCG
RNAcentral lists this ribosomal RNA (325 nucleotides) under Acanthamoeba lenticulata. RNAcentral describes it as "SSU rRNA". It matches the Rfam family "Eukaryotic small subunit ribosomal RNA", at positions 781 to 1082 of the family's 1831-position model. The record is from RNAcentral. Lineage: Eukaryota; Discosea; Longamoebia; Acanthamoebidae.